Molecule: ribosomal RNA, 305 nt
Filed under: uncultured bacterium
Lineage: Bacteria
Description: bacterial SSU rRNA
Rfam family: Bacterial small subunit ribosomal RNA
Source: RNAcentral
UUGUGCCUACGGGACGCAGCAGUGGGGAAUAUUGGGCAAUGGGCGCAAGCCUGACCCAGCAACGCCGCGUGAAGGAAGAAGGCUUUCGGGUUGUAAACUUCUUUUCUCAGGGACGAAGAAAGUGACGGUACCUGAGGAAUAAGCCACGGCUAACUACGUGCCAGCAGCCGCGGUAAUACGUAGGUGGCAAGCGUUAUCCGGAUUUACUGGGUGUAAAGGGCGUGUAGGCGGGAAAGCAAGUCAGAUGUGAAAACCAUGGGCUCAACCUGUGGCCUGCAUCUGAAACUGUUUUUCUUUAGUACUGG